UACGGAGGAUCCGAGCGUUAUCCGGAUUUAUUGGGUUUAAAGGGUGCGUAGGUGGUUUGAUAAGUCAGCGGUGAAAGUUUGCAGCUUAACUGUAAAAAUGCCGUUGAAACUGUCGGACUUGAGUGUAAAUGAGGUAGGCGGAAUGCGUGGUGUAGCGGUGAAAUGCAUAGAUAUCACGCAGAACUCCGAUUGCGAAGGCAGCUUACUAAGCUACAACUGACACUGAAGCACGAAAGCGUGGGGAUCAAACAGGAUUAGAUACCCU
Molecule: ribosomal RNA, 265 nt
Filed under: uncultured prokaryote
Description: partial 16S ribosomal RNA
Rfam family: Bacterial small subunit ribosomal RNA
Source: RNAcentral